GCCGCAGUAGCCUGACUGUGCUAAGGUAGCAUAAUCAUUAGGUUUUUUAUUGGGAUCUGGAAUGAAGGAAUAAAUAGGGAGAAGCUGUCUAGUAGGAGGUUUUGAACUUAAAUUUUUAGUAAUAAUGCUAGAAUGAUCUUAUGGGACGAUAAGACCCUAUAAAGCUUGAUUUGUUGACUUUAAGUGUUUUUGCUGAAUUUAAUGUCUUACUAAUUUGACUGGGGCGGUUAGCAGCAUAACCUGUUUUAAUUAUAGUAUUUUUGAUCCAUUAUUAUUGAAAUAAGAUUAAGUUACUUUAGGGAUAACAGCAUAAUAUCCUUAUGGAGUUCUAAUCGAAGGGGAUGAUUAUGACCUCGAUGUUGAAUUAAUCUUAAUGUAUGAUGAAGAAGUUAUAUGUUUUAGUCUGUUCGACUAUUGAACGAUUACAUGAUUUGAGUUCAAACCGGUGUAAG
This 452-nucleotide ribosomal RNA is filed under the name Pseudogagrella andoi. RNAcentral's name for it is "partial 16S ribosomal RNA". It matches the Rfam family "Bacterial large subunit ribosomal RNA", at positions 1930 to 2625 of the family's 2925-position model. The record is from RNAcentral. Lineage: Eukaryota; Metazoa; Arthropoda; Arachnida; Opiliones; Sclerosomatidae.